Molecule: non-coding RNA, 10876 nt
Organism: Rattus norvegicus (Norway rat)
Lineage: Eukaryota; Metazoa; Chordata; Mammalia; Rodentia; Muridae
Source: RefSeq, a predicted model, not a curated record
GGAAGGGGAGGUGGGGUGGAUAUAUAACACCUUGAGAAUGUCCACAGGUAGGAAAACUCAGUUUUUCAAUCAGCAGUGGUCAAAUAACAUAAGAAAUAGCCAUAAAUUGAAAUUACUUUUACACUCAUUGAGGCUGAAGUAAUACAAAAGAGUACUGUGCAGAAACAAGCAGUCACAGUAGUGACUCACCCAAGAUAUGACAUCAAUAUACUCGGGUUGUACGAGUCUGUUUGCUAUUGCUGUGACAAAACAUUCUGACCAAAGGCAACUUGAGAAGAAAGGAUCUGGGUGGCCUACACUGUCACAGCAAGAGCUCGACAGGAACCUAGAGCAGAGUCCAGGGGCCAACGCUGCUUACUGGCUUGGCCUAAUUUUCAUGGCUUGCUCCCCUUGUUUUCUUACACAACUCAGGACCACCCGCCUUCAGUGGGCUUACCACACCAAUGGAGGAUCAUUAGACAAAAAAAUGCCCCACUGACUCAUCACAGGCUACUCUAAGGAAGGCAACCCCAUAAUUAAGGUUCCCCUCUUUCCCAGUGACUUUAGUUUCUGUCAGGCUGACAAACACUAACCAGGGAAAGGAUGUUUUCUCUUGGAAGGGUCAGCACUUCUAGCUAAUGCAGCCACACCCUUCCUUACCUACAUUUCCCACCAAAUAAACUAGGAGACAUUAAAAAUGAAGGGACCAUUGCCCAUCUUUUAACUUGUCAUCUACUGCUAUACUAGGCUGAUUGUCUUCAUUCUUAGAAACAGCAGUUUUGUCUCAGUUAAUUUUGAAGCAUUUACCUCUUUACAUUUGGUGUAGAAUGGUACUAGACACAAGCAUAGAAAUUAAACCGCUGUGCACACACACACCAAAUUAUAAAAAGAACUCUGUUCCAGCUCUGAAGGGUUUAUAUCUUAAUUCAGUCUUUCAUGGAGGUAUUGAGUACUUGGGAUUUGAAUUGGACGAUAACCUUGCAUUUCCAGUUGCCGUGUGACCUUGGCAUUUGAUUUUUAAGAGGCUCAAUUUCCCCGUUUGUAAUUGUUGCCUUCAAGUGCAGCUUAUAUUAUCCAGUCUAACUUCGGAUAUAUAAACCAAGGAAAUUAAUCUAGGGAACUGCUAAUUUGACGCUGGUGAGGUUUCUCUCUUUUCUGACCACCUUUAGUACCUGGUCUUAUUCAAAACAUCUUUCAUGCCCGUUCACCUAGAAACUGGGACGUGUUUUGCACUGCAGCUAAGUGUGUGUGUGUGUGUGUGUGUGUGUGUGUGUGUGUGUGUGUGUGUGUGUGUGUGUGUGUCCGCGGGCGCGCUAGGAGGCGUCACAAAGAGCUUAUGAAAGGUCGGAGAGGCCCCUACCCACAGCAAGCUAUGGGAGAACUGUGAGGAACCUAGGAAGGGCGCUGCGCCCAAACCUUUGGUUUCAAGGCCCUCUUUGUGACAAUAUUCAGUGGGCUUGGGCUCUGCGGCUGGAAAGGAAAAGCCCCAAGUCACGGAACUGCGCUCUUUCUGCCAUGUCCCAGCCGGCCCCGCCCUCCAGCAGGAGUGAACCCGCAAAAAAAAUGGGUUCGGAGGCGGCUGCGGCAAGAUAAGGGCCAGCAGGACAAGGAGAGUCCGGCUAGGGCAAAGGCAGGGAGAAAGCGCCGCGCCCUGGGAGAACCGUGUAAACUCAGAGGUCUAGGGCGCCGGCGACCACGCCGGGCUGCCGGGCGCGCGAGGACCCGAGGGGCAGCAGAGCGCAGGCGCGCCCACACCGCGCUCCCCCGCCUAGCCACGCCCCCUGCCCCCCCCGCCCUCGCGUCCCAUUUGGUACAGACCUGCCGGCGGGGCGGGGCCGCGGACGCCAUUCCCACAAUGCUCCGGGGCGUGCCGCCGCCGUCGCUGCCGCCUCCGCUACCGCUAGUGGAAGAAGAUGGCGGAAGGCGGAGCGGCGGACCUGGACACCCAGCGUUCUGACAUCGCGACGCUGCUCAAAACCUCGCUCCGGAAAGGGGACACCUGGUAUCUAGUAGAUAGUCGGUGGUUCAAACAGUGGAAAAAAUAUGUUGGCUUUGACAGUUGGGACAAAUACCAGAUGGGAGAUCAAAAUGUCUAUCCUGGACCCAUCGAUAACUCUGGACUUCUCAAAGAUGGCGAUGCUCAGUCACUUAAGGAACACCUUAUCGACGAGUUGGAUUACAUACUGUUGCCGACUGAGGGCUGGAAUAAACUUGUCAGCUGGUACACACUGAUGGAAGGCCAAGAGCCAAUAGCAAGAAAGGUGGUAGAACAGGGCAUGUUUGUAAAGCACUGCAAAGUGGAAGUCUACCUCACAGAACUGAAGCUCUGCGAGAAUGGGAACAUGAACAAUGUUGUAACUCGGAGAUUUAGCAAAGCUGACACAAUAGACACAAUUGAAAAGGAAAUAAGAAAGAUCUUCAAUAUUCCAGAUGAAAAGGAGGCCAGACUGUGGAACAAGUAUAUGAGUAACACAUUUGAGCCACUGAAUAAGCCAGACAGCACCAUCCAGGAUGCCGGCCUAUACCAAGGACAGGUGUUAGUGAUAGAACAAAAAAAUGAAGACGGAACGUGGCCCAGGGGUCCCUCUGCUCCUAAGUCCCCAGGUGCAUCCAAUUUUUCAACUUUACCAAAGAUCUCUCCUUCAUCUCUAUCAAAUAAUUAUAACAACAUCAACAACAGAAAUGUGAAAAACUCCAAUUAUUGUCUCCCGUCAUAUACUGCUUACAAGAACUAUGAUUAUUCGGAACCUGGAAGAAACAAUGAACAGCCAGGCCUGUGUGGCCUAAGUAACUUGGGAAACACAUGUUUCAUGAACUCAGCCAUUCAGGAGUUCAUGCUCUGGUGAAUGCAUGAUCUUAUGAAUACCUAAGAUAUAUCAGAAUAUAUGAUCUAUAUAAUGUUUUGACAAAGAAGAAAAGAAAGCCAUCAGAAAAUAAGUGAAAUGUCACCAAGAAUUACCGGUUUUCUAAAGUAGUGAGCAUACAUGAGCACUUGAAUCGGGUACUGGAGCGCCUGAGCAGAGAGGGUUCAUACUCAGCAUUACAAAAGACAACUUUCUCUUUUUGAAGGGGAUUGCUUUGACUGUUUUCCAGGUACUGGGGCAAUUCCAGAUUCAUUACAACUUAUGGGAUGGCUAUUAACUAUUUAUAUGUUGAUCUCAGACUUGGUUGGGUUGUAUAGUAAGACUGAGUUCUUCAGUUUUACAGAAAACUAAGUAGAAGUUUAUAAUUAAGACUCAACAUCCAUUAACUGAAAGUUUUAUCAGACAAUUCACAGGGCAUCAGUCUCACUAACCAGAGCAUACUUAAUAAAAGAAUAAGUCUUUUACUUUUAAAAACUAAUGUGGGGGUUGGGAAUUUAGCUCAGUGGUAGAGCGCUUAAGGCCCUGGGUUCGGUCCCCAGCUCCAAAAAAAAAAAAAAAAAAAGCUAAUGUAAAUUAUGAAAGAAUAUGUGUACAUAAGUGAAAAUUAGAUGCAAUCCCUUCUACCUUUUGAACAAAAUAUUUCACAUGGUAUUCCAGUUCUAGCAUGUUGGGCUAAGGACACUUAAAACUGGGUUGUUUUUCAUAGGCAAUUCUUUAUGAAAUACUUGUAGCUUUCUGUAUUUGCUUAUAAUACAGUUCUUGGAGUUGUAGUAGGUACAUUGAAGCACAUAGCAGAAUGCCCAGGAAAUAAGACAUUUGGGUAUUUAGGAAUCUGUAGAAGUUUUGCUUAGUUUCUGCUUACAGAUUUCAAACAACAGUUUUAGCUCAUACACACGUGGCUUGGCAGACAUUGAGGUGUUGACAGACGCUGCUUUCCCUUGUUAGGAAGGGUGCAUGGUGUCUCUAGGUAUUAGAGGACUUUUUGAACAUAUAUAACUGUUGGAUAAGAAUUAUAACCAGGAGCAAUUUAAGAGUCCUUUUGGGUGCCUUCCUGUGCCAGUGUCUGAGUCUCUCCUGGGACUGUUUGUGUCUCUCCCUUCUGUGCUGUCUGUCACUCACUCAGUUAACAUUGGUUUAGGCUGUCAGGCCAGCACUGGACUGGAUGCUAAGGCAAAUGGUGAUAACACGCCGACUCUGAGAGAGUUAGAAGUACAGGUACCCAGAAGAGGGAGCAUCGGUCCUACUGAGGAAAGUAGAACACUGAACACCAGAGGCCCACGGAUUUCUCACAGGAAGGAAGACAUGUAAAGCUUCUAUUCAGUACCUGAAACUCAGGAAUAGACAUGGGAAUUCAGACUACUAAUUCAGUCAAUACUAAUAAUUUCCAGUAUCCAUUGUAAAAUAUACAAGCACACACAACCCCUUCGAGAGACAGAUAGUGAGCGGUCACUUCUCAUCAAUUUGUUUAUAUCCUCAUAUUAUUUAUUUUUAGUUAGUUCUUUGGGAAUUCUGUAAUGUAUUUGCUCAUGGUCACCCGACUCCCCUACUCUUCCCACAUCCACCUAACUUUGUGUCCUUUGGUGGUGGUGGUGGUGGUGGUGUUGUUGUUGUUGUUGUUUGAUUUUUUUUAUUAGAUAUAUUUCUUUACUACAUUUCAAACGUUAUUACCUUUCCCGGUUUCCUGUCCAUAAACCCCCAUACCCUCCCCUCUCCCUCCCCCAUACAGGUAUUCCCCCUAUACAUCCCCCUUAUGGCCCUCCCAUAUUCUCCUUCACUGGGGGCGGGGGGAGUCCAACCUGCAGGACCAAGGGCUUCCCCUUCCCCUGGUGCCCCAACAAGGCUAUUCUCUGCUACAUAUGCAGUUGGAGCCCUGGGUCAGUCCAUGUAUAGUCUUUCAGUAGUGGUUUAGUCCCUGGAAGCUCUGGUUGGUUGGCAUUGUUGUUUCUAUGGGGUUGCAAGGUCCUUCAACUCUUUCAAUACUUCCUCUAAUUCCCCUCAAGGGGGUCCUAUUCUUAGUUGGGUGGUUUGCUCCUAGCAUUGACCUCUGUAUUGGACGUACUCUGGAUGUGUCUCUCAGGAGAGAUCUAUAUCCGGUCCCUUUUAGCAUACAUUUUCUAGCUUCAUCAAUCUUAUCUAGUUUUGGUGGCUGUGUAUAUAUGGGCCACAUGUGGGUCAGGCUCUGAAUGGCCAUUCCUUGAGUCGUUGCUCUAAACUUUGCUUCCACAUCCCCUCCUAUGGAUAUUUUUCCCCCUUUUAAGAGGGAGUGGGAGCAUCUGCAUUUUGGUCAUCCUUCUUCUUGAACAUCUGUGGAUUGCAUCUUGGGUAAUUUGAGCUUUUUGGCUAAUAUCCACUUAUCAAUGAGUGCAUACCAAGUGUGUUUUUCUAUGAUUGAGUAACCUCACUCAGGAUGAUAUUUUCUAGUUCAUUCCAUUUGCCUAUGAAUUUCAUGAAGUCAUUGUUCUUUUUGAUUGUUUUUUAAACUCAAGUCUGAUUUGUGUUGUCAUUUUAUUUCUAGAUGUGUGGACUGUCCACUUAUCAGGGACUACAUUCUCAGAGGAAAUUCCCUCUCCAUUUCCCAGUAUUUGUCACUUGUCACUAGUUCCUUGGCCAGGGGUGGGACUCCAUGUCACUUCCUCUUUUCAUGCUGGGGUUUGUUCUAGCAUUUGCUGGCCUAGUCUUGUGCAUGCUCUCAGGACUGUCAUGUCACCUCUCCUUCCAUGUCACCUGAGUCAGGGGCUUUCUGUAGUGCUCUUCAUUCUGUAACAAGAACUACAUUAGAAAUGUACACAGAUGACCUUGUAGACACCCACCGUGGACAAAUGAGAUUGUUCAUACUUAAAUGUCUGUUGUCCUUGACAAUUUUGUAUACUGUUAGCUUACACAGAGACUAGAUAUUUAAAUAUACAAGUGUUUAGCCUAGUUGCCAAGUACAUUACUAUUUAUACUUUAAGUUGCUUACUUUUUUCUUCUUUUACAUUAAGAAUUGUAGAUACUAUUAAGAAUCUCUUAGAUCUGGUUAUUGCGUUAUUUUUUAGUUAGUAUAGAUGUUUCUUACUUGAUAGUAGCUUCAUCAUGACAUUUUCAAGAAUGGUAUUGCUUCCUUUUUAACUUUGUCCUCCACUUGAGGAACAAACUCUUCAGCCCAAUUAUAAUUAAAACAAAUCAUGGCUUGAGGUCUCUGUGUUUUAUCCCAGUGCUGAGAAAGCUAAGGGAGGGGAGCGAUGGGGAUUUCAUAAUCAACCUUGGCUAUAUAAUAGGACCAUAUCUCAAAAACAUAGAGAUAUGUGGAGCUUACUAACAAUACAUUUCCUCAUCUUUGGGCCCCAUUUUAUUAUAGAUAAUUAGGAGAUCUAAUUUUCUUGAUUUUGAUGUUUGAUGGUGUCAGAUGGUUAAGUUUCAAUAAAUUAACAGAGACCGGUAUCAUGUCAGAAAUUUCCAAAGCAGUAGAUUAACUAAUUCUGUUUAUACAUUUGUAUUUUCAUACAACAUGCUCAUGUUUUGGUUUUGCUAACCACUACCAUAUAUCUUAGGCAGCUAGAGUUGUCUUGUUCAAUUUUAUAGUCACGGCAGUAUUUAGCCUCCCAGUAGAGUCUAACAUUAGACUUUCAGUCCAUAUUCUAUCAACCAAAGGUCUUUGUGGUAAAAGGAGAAUUUCCUGCUUUAAAUAUGAAGAAAUGUAUACAUGUGUGUGUUUAAGGGUGGACUGUACACGUGUGUAUAUUUAAGGACCGACUGCACAUGUGUAUAUGUUUAAGGACGGACUGUACACAUGUGUGUGUUUAAGGCAGGACCUGUUCUUUAGAGCAUUGUGUUUAAUAGCAACUGUCUCAGUCAGCAAAGACUUUAAGACAGGCUCCUAUGAACACUCUAAAUGAUGAGUCUCAUAUAAUAACUUCAGAUCAAACAGCAACACAACCAAAGUUUAAAAACCAGUUUCAUCUCUUCUCCUAAAAUGACGAUGUUGAAUGUGGAUAGAACAGCUCCUACAAUAUGGAAACACUUGGCUGCUUGACCUUUAUUCUAGCUGUAACUUGACGUCUACACAUAAAGUUAUAGUAACUUGUCCUUACAUGAUUUAAAGAACAUGACUUCUGAUGUACCAGUAUUUUCAAGAUUCAGAGAAUUUUCUGAUAUCACUUUACUUUUUUUUUGUUUUAAUGCACAAAAACACAGGGUUAGUAACAACAGCUACUACUUAAUCACACUUUUUCUGUGCAAUUUUAUGGUAGCUACAGAAAGCAGAGAGUAUGCCCAUUGUUCAGAAGGGAAAAACUGAAGUUCAUACAAUUCAGCCUCGCAACGGACUACUGGAACUAGGGUUUCAACCCAGAUUCCAAAUCAUAUGCUAUGACUACAUUAUAUAUUUCUACAUUAUAUAUUUCUGAAUUUCCAAUUUCAUACAUGAAAAGCCUAAUGGUCACAUAGUGAUACAUAAAGGCCUGCUACUUACCUAAUACAAGUAUGUCCAUUUUAUUUCUUUUUUGUCUGAAGGGGACUGGCAGAAUUACUAUAUGCAGUUACUCUGCUAAUUAACCUUCCACUAUUUGUAUAGCACAUAAGAAAUUACAAUGCUCACAUCACUUUACUUCUUAAGUUAUUGUGAUUUAUAUUAGUCAAACAAUAGCUAUUGGACCCCUUUAAUAUUAUAUUCAGCGAGCAGAAUGUUUAAAUUUGACUAUUGAUUAGGACACCUCUCCAUAGGUAGUAUAGGCCCUACUUGUUAAAAGUCUUUGUAUUCCAUUAUUUAGUUUGGCAGUGCUGAAUUAUAACGAGUUCAAACUGACAUGUGUCCUUGGGAAAAUAAAUGUUAGUCUAGAAAAUCGGAAGAGACUCACUGUAAAGCCAACAGAAAGUCAGACAUAGAAGUGUGGUGUUUUCAGUGCAUACUGUCGUUUUGUUUCAUUCUUGGGCUUUUGAGGUACUUUUGAUACCAUUCGUUAUAAGCAAAUACAUACUUACCACAUGUGUGAAGAUUUUGUUUGACAAAAAUAGAAUAUUAUGUUCUAAGAUUGAGAGGAAAAGAAUUAAGGCUGAGAGAAUGUAGGCAUUAGUAAAUCCUGGCAGAACAUUGUUAAUAAACAUGUGUACUUACUGUGCAUGGACUAAGUGAUAUACUCAGCGCUGAGAUUACAAAUACAUACGCUGUCAUGGAAGUCAUAGCCCACAAGUCAUAGACCAACAAUAAUGUUAUGAUGUGUUAAAACAUCAGUGCUGGACUCAAAAUGAUCACUAAGCAGUGCACUAAGCAGGAAACAUUGUUGAACUGAGAGCCAGUCUCCAGUAUGCUGUCUGAAUCUCAGUCAGAGGGUAAGGCAAGAAGCUCUGUUUUGAGAUUGGUGAGGCUGUACAGGGGUGCUCCGCAGAGAGAAGAGCGUCAGAGGUUACGGGGCUGGUAAUGCGAGUAAAGGAAUUGUCAGGGGACAAGGGCUAAGAAAGAGGUUCAUCUAGGAACUGGGGGUUCCAGUAUGAUUACAAGGAUUUAUUGAAGGUUUUAUAGCCAGGCAUUAAUAUGAUUAAACACAUAUUUAAGAGAUCACUAGCUAUGAAUAGAGAGGUAAUUUUUCUUCAGUUGUUGUUGAAAGAUCUUGCAAGUCAAGGAUACAUAGCACAUGAAUAAUUAAGUAAAAACUGAAGUUCAGAAUUUAUUCAUGUUUGCAACAUUUGUUUUUGAAUUAUUUUUAAAGCCAUAAAUUUGGUUGAUUAUAUGAGUAUAGUAAUAGACUUUAGUGGAACCAACAUUAAUAUAACCCUGAGCAAGUCACAAAGUGAGGAUUUGCAAACUAAGUGUUGUCAGAUACUGCUGUGACAGGCCCCUUUGCCCAAUGUUUAUUUAUUGUUGAUCCUGCUUGUGGCAGAUCCAGGAUACCGACUGCUAAGUAAUGGCUUCUGUGUUGUGGUAUGAUCCAUAUGGCCUGGCCCUUCUCCAGUGCUGGGUUUGUAAUUAAAGGGAAGUGUAAUACUAGAGAAGAAGAUGAAAUUCAGGUGGAACAUAGAGGACUCGGGAAGAAGCUUAGGAAGUGUCCUUUCUCCCUUGACAACCUGCUCCAUUAUUAACUACCCUAUGUGUAUCUUUUAAUAAAGACAAAGUUUAUACUGUAAAGGACUCUGAAGCCCUGCAGAGCCAGCCCAGCCUGAAUCAUAGAGUUACAAUGAGACCUAGUGCCACAGCCCUGUAAUGCUAUCUGCUCUGGGAGCCAAGGAAAGAAAAGUAAAAGUUCAAGGGUUUGUGAUACAGAGUGAGUUCAAGGCCAGCCUGGGCAACUUAAAAUCUUGUCUCAGAAUCAAAAGUACAGUAAGAAGGUGGGAAUGGGGAGGUUGGAACUCAGAAUAACGGAUUACUCUCUGGCAGCCCAGGGACCUGAGGAGGGGAGGGAAGAGUCAGGACAGUAAGUUCUAUGAUAAAGUAAGUUCCAAGUUCAUCUUGAGGGGCAGGGUAGAAGUCAGUUUAGAUAACAUUCAGAUUGUAUAAAUAUUAUGACUACUCAGUAAACAUACGUUUUUAAAUAAAUAAGACAAAACAUGAGUAACAUAACUUUCUUGAAAGAACUAAAUAAAAGUAAAAUAUGCUUAUUUGGGUGUUUAACUGAACUACGUAGUACGGUCAUAAUUUAAAUUACUUGUAUGUACACCCAGCAACCUGAUCUUUUCAUAGCUACGAAGCCUAUUUAAGUUAAUGCAACUUGGUGGCAUACCAGGUCUCCAAAACUUUGAUUUCCAUGAAUUUUAAUUGAGAUUCAACAAAUGGAUCUUUAAAACUUUGCAUGCAGGCAAUUGAUUUCCCAUUCAGCACUUUGUCACUGACUCUAAGACACAUAAACUCCUACAUACAAAUAUGUGUGUGGGUAUUUCUAUGACUUACCUGAUUAUAUAUGGAUGUGAGACAUUGCAUAUUUGAAACAUUCAUUAAUAAAGCAACAUGGCAUUCUCUCUGAGCUGGAAUCAUAUGGCAUCAUCAAUUUAAAAUUAUUUCAAAUAAUUUUGGAAUAUUAUAAACAUUACAAGUUUUGGAGUAAAAUAUUGUGGAAAAUAUAUCUACCAUCUUUUAAAUUUUUUAAUUAGGAAUUUAUUCAAAAUAAAGAAUUGGAGAAAAACUUUGCAGUUUUUCAUAAACAAUAAUUAGAUUGUUAUUGUAUUAAGAGCUUCAAAAGAACAUAUCCAGAGUUUGCCUAAAGUUUGUUUUUAAUAGGUUUUCCUGGUCAGUACUACCCUUUCUAAACACCACUACUAGCUGAAUGACAGAGUUAAACACUGUCAUUUAUGAUUAGGCGCUGGCUGCAGAAGCAGUAAAUCCAUUUGUUGUGACAUUAUCCGUGGGGUGCUGCUAUCAGCAUCCACAGGUACACAGUGCUUUAUAGUAAGAGGUCUACAGGGUCACAUAGCCUGUGUAUGUCCUCCUGUGUACUGUAGAUCAUCUCUAGGUUGCUUAUAAUACCUUUAUAUUGUACUGGCUAAAGAAUAAUGAUCAAAAAAAAUUUUGUUCAGUAUGAAUGUAAUACAAUUUUUUUUCAAAUAUUUUCCUAUCUGCAAUUAAUUUGAGUCCACAAACCAUCUGUGCCUCUUUUAGUUGAUUUUUUUGCCUGCACACUAUCUCAGUUUUAUCUACUCUGGCUACUUUGCAGCUGCCUGGGAUACUUAGACGGUCCAUAUUUCCACCAAUCAAGUAAAGGAAGGAAAGAAAAUACUGAGCUUCACUCCCAGUUAACGGGUAGUUUGCUGUGGUUAAAAUUAUGCAGAUUUUGCAGCAACAAAUAUUAGUGGUUUUGUUUUUAGUAGUAAGUAGCUGAGAGCUUGGGAAUUAAGUGAUCUCAAUGCUCAUCUGAGUGUUUAACUGCUACUCAGCAUGGGGAACCAUGUAUAUUUCUCUGUGUGUUACAGCAAAUUGACUAGCUUCACUCUUCAUUGUAACAUUUUAAGUAUGCAUGUGGUUUCUUUUGCUCUAACAUAUGUUUUUGCUCCUUGCAGUGUUUGAGCAACACACCUCCACUUACUGAAUAUUUCCUCAAUGAUAAGUACCAAGAAGAGCUGAAUUUUGA